UGUGCCAGCAGCCGCGGUAAUACGGAAGGUCCGGGCGUUAUCCGGAUUUAUUGGGUUUAAAGGGAGCGCAGGCCGAUGGUUAAGCGUGACGUGAAAUGUAGCCGCUCAACGGCUGAACUGCGUCGCGAACUGGCUGUCUUGAGUGAGUUCGAUGUGGGCGGAAUUCGUCGGUGUAGCGGUGAAAUGCUUAGAUAUCACGAAGAACUCCGAUUGCGAAGGCAGCCCACAAGGCCUUUACUGACGCUAAAGCUCGAAGGUGCGGGUAUCGAACAGGAUUAGAUACCCUGGUAGUCCGCACGGUAAACGAUGGAUGCCCGCUGUUUGCGAUAUACUGUGAGCGGCCAAGAGAAAUCGUUAAGCAUCCCACCUGGGGAGUACGCCGGCAACGGUGAAACUCAAAGGAAUUGACGGGGGCCCGCACAAGCGGAGGAACAUGUGGUUUAAUUCGAUGAUACGCGAGGAACCUUACCCGGGCUUGAACUGCAGCGGAAGGAUACAGAGAUGUUGACGUCCUUCGGGACCGCUGUGGAGGUGCUGCAUGGUUGUCGUCAGCUCGUGCCGUGAGGUGUCGGCUUAAGUGCCAUAACGAGCGCAACCCUUUUCAUCAGUUGCCAUCAGGUGAUGCUGGGCACUCUGGUGAUACUGCCACCGUAAGGUGUGAGGAAGGUGGGGAUGACGUCAAAUCAGCACGGCCCUUACGUCCGGGGCUACACACGUGUUACAAUGGGGCAUACAGAAGGCGGGACCAUGGCAACAUGGUUCAAAUCUUUAAAGUGCUCCUCAGUUCGGAUUGGGGUCUGCAACCCGACCCCAUGAAGCUGGAUUCGCUAGUAAUCGCGCAUCAGCCAUGGCGCGGUGAAUACGUUCCCGGGCCUUGUACACACCGCCCGU
Molecule: ribosomal RNA, 891 nt
Filed under: uncultured bacterium
Lineage: Bacteria
Description: bacterial SSU rRNA
Rfam family: Bacterial small subunit ribosomal RNA
Source: RNAcentral